This 31-nucleotide non-coding RNA is filed under the name Homo sapiens (human). The record is from RNAcentral. Lineage: Eukaryota; Metazoa; Chordata; Mammalia; Primates; Hominidae.
UGGACCGUCCCUCCUGAUAAUACUCAGGGCA